CCUACGGGAGGCAGCAGUGGGGAAUAUUGCACAAUGGGCGAAAGCCUGAUGCAGCGACGCCGCGUGAGGGAUGACGGCCUUCGGGUUGUAAACCUCUUUCAGCAGGGAAGAAGCGAAAGUGACGGUACUGCAGAGAGGCGUGCA
RNAcentral lists this ribosomal RNA (144 nucleotides) under uncultured Streptomyces sp. Its description in RNAcentral is "partial 16S ribosomal RNA". It matches the Rfam family "Bacterial small subunit ribosomal RNA", at positions 338 to 496 of the family's 1533-position model. The record is from RNAcentral. Lineage: Bacteria; Bacillati; Actinomycetota; Actinomycetes; Kitasatosporales; Streptomycetaceae.